Molecule: long non-coding RNA, 534 nt
Organism: Dreissena polymorpha
Lineage: Eukaryota; Metazoa; Mollusca; Bivalvia; Myida; Dreissenidae
Exons: 3
Source: RefSeq, a predicted model, not a curated record
UUAUCGCGUCUUUCAUGUACAAAAUAUUGCCAUGAUAAUCCCUUCAUUUUGGACAUCAGAUGGCACAAAAACCCUAGGAAGCACAUUUUGUAACAAAACACACACAAAAAUAUAGGACCUAUUAAAAUAAACGCUUACAGUGUGGCCAUACCACGUGGUUUGUGACGUCAUUUUGGCUAGCACGCUAAGUAGAAAUUUGUCAACAUUGGCCCCGCUUAGAAAUUUCAAAUCCACGCACUUCUUCUAUACAACCUCGAAAAAGAAUGUGUACAAACUCGUUGGUCAAUAUAACGUCGAUGGCAAAGGUGAAGAUGAACCAAACAUCAAGAGCUCUUCCGAUAUUCGUGACCACGAGUUUGACAACCCUGGGAGACUGCGCGUGAAACCGAAGGCAAAAGAGGCCAAAAUGGACUCGAGUCGAAAUGCCGUUGCCAGGGAAACUUUAGGUGAACGGUGGGACUGUGCGAGGAGAAACGAAAGCAAGUUAUUGCCUACGUACAGACUUGGACUAGACAUGGAAGAAAUUUGAUAAGA